GCUCAGGAUGAACGCUGGCGGCGUGCCUAACACAUGCAAGUCGAGCGAAGCACUUUGCUUAGAUUCUUCGGAUGCAGAGGAUUGUGACUGAGCGGCGGACGGGUGAGUAACGCGUGGGUAACCUGCCUCAUACAGGGGGAUAACAGUUAGAAAUGACUGCUAAUACCGCAUAAGACCACAGCACCGCAUGGUGCGGGGGUAAAAACUCCGGUGGUAUGAGAUGGACCCGCGUCUGAUUAGCUAGUUGGUAAGGUAACGGCUUACCAAGGCGACGAUCAGUAGCCGACCUGAGAGGGUGACCGGCCACAUUGGGACUGAGACACGGCCCAAACUCCUACGGGAGGCAGCAGUA
This 352-nucleotide ribosomal RNA is filed under the name uncultured bacterium. RNAcentral describes it as "bacterial SSU rRNA". It matches the Rfam family "Bacterial small subunit ribosomal RNA", at positions 22 to 356 of the family's 1533-position model. The record is from RNAcentral.